Molecule: ribosomal RNA, 397 nt
Filed under: uncultured bacterium
Lineage: Bacteria
Description: partial 16S ribosomal RNA
Rfam family: Bacterial small subunit ribosomal RNA
Source: RNAcentral
AUACGUAGGGGGCGAGCGUUGUCCGGAAUGAUUGGGCGUAAAGGGCGCGUAGGCGGCGCGGUAAGUCUGGAGUGAAAGUCCUGCUUUCAAGGUGGGAAUUGCUUUGGAUACUGCCGCGCUUGAGUGCAGGAGAGGUUAUCGGAAUUCCCGGUGUAGCGGUGAAAUGCGUAGAGAUCGGGAGGAACACCAGUGGCGAAGGCGGGUAACUGGACUGCAACUGACGCUGAGGCGCGAAAGUGUGGGGAGCAAACAGGAUUAGAUACCCUGGUAGUCCACACUGUAAACGAUGAAUACUAGGUAUAGGGGGUAUAAAAUCCUUCUGUGCCGCAGCAAACGCAAUAAGUAUCCCACCUGGGGAGUACGACCGCAAGGUUGAAACUCAAAUGAAUUGACGGGG